GGCCCUCGAAUGACUAGCUACUGAAUCAUAGAAUUUCUUAAAAUUCAUGAUGUCGUAAGGGAAAAUAAUGAUAAUACCUUACUAUGAGUGUCGUCCAAAUCUGGUGCCAGAAGACUCGGUAAGACCAGAGACGCAAACGUUAAUCAUCUUAAACAGGCGUAAAGGGUUUGUAGGCAGCUUUCAUAUGAAUAUAAUUACAAAAUAAAGUAGUCUAAUUGAAAGCUAGAAUCAAAAAGAGGUUAUAGUGUAUAACGCCUAGAUGAGGGCUGAUAUCCGUAGAUCCUAGGUAGAAUACUUAAGGCGAAGGCCACUCUCCACUAAUGAUUGACGCUGAGAAACGAGGGUUAGGGCAGGAAAUAGGAUUAGAUACCCUGGUACUCCUUUCUGUAAACGAUGAAUGGUAGUUAUUAGUUUUUUAAAUUAACUAGUGGCGAAGUUAACACAAUAACCAUUCCGCCUUGUGAGUAUUACUGCAAAGUAGAAAACAAAAAAAUUAGUCGGUCUCGAAGCAAACGGAGUGAAGCAUGUUAUUUAAUAAAUAAAAUCCGCGCAAAUGUGUG
This 560-nucleotide ribosomal RNA is filed under the name Jorgewrightia bambusae. RNAcentral describes it as "Megasporia sp. YW-2021a partial small subunit ribosomal RNA". It matches the Rfam family "Bacterial small subunit ribosomal RNA", at positions 396 to 983 of the family's 1533-position model. The record is from RNAcentral. Lineage: Eukaryota; Fungi; Basidiomycota; Agaricomycetes; Polyporales; Polyporaceae.